Molecule: long non-coding RNA, 3825 nt
Organism: Felis catus (domestic cat)
Lineage: Eukaryota; Metazoa; Chordata; Mammalia; Carnivora; Felidae
Exons: 4
Source: RefSeq, a predicted model, not a curated record
GGGGCUCGAACUCACGGACCGCGAGAUCGUGACCUGGCUGAAGUUGGACGCUCAACCGACUGCGCCACCCAGGCGCCCCUGAAUCUGUUAUUAAAAACCUCUCAUGUAGGAAACUGCUUGCCCACAUGCUUCACUGGUGAAUUCUACCAUAUGAACAGAUGUACAUGACUAUUUACUGUAGCUUUAUUUGUAAAUAAAUAAAUUUAUAAGUAAAUUUCUAGCCAAACACUGGAAAUAAUCCACAUGUCCACCAACAAGUAAAUGAAUAAAGAAUGAUAUAUCCAUAUAAUGGGAUACUCAGCAAUGUAAAGGAAUAAACUAUUGAUACAUGAUACAAUACUAUUAAUCUGACAGUAAUUAUGCUGAGUGAAAGAAGCUUGAUAAAAAGAGUAUACACAUUACAGUCAAUUCUUGUUAUUCACGGUAGUUAUGUUCUGUGAAGUUACCAUGAACACUGAAUUAGCAAAUACUGAACUACUGCUCUUAGAGGAAAUACAGGGUGAGGUUCCUGCCAGCCUCUGGUCACAACAUUUUCAUCAACUGAUCAACACAUAACCCUGUUUUAUAUGUGUGUCUGUUUAAAGACACCUUAUUUAAUAUACAUUGUUGAUUCAUUAGUGUUCAACUCUUAGCCAAAAGCACUAGAACGCAUGCCUGAAGGAAGCUUUUCUAACAUAUGUAUUUCCACUGUAAGGCACUUCACAGCCUUCUUGUACUUAGAAUCAUCAGCACUUCAGUAGGACACUUGUGAGCCAUUUUAACAGCAAAAUCCCCAACACAAAGCACAAAAAAUGUGAAUACAUGGCCUUAAAAAGACCACGGAAAGGACACUUGUUUAUAGCAUGAGAGCCAAGUAGGAACAAGUACGAGAAACAAGGCUGUGUUGCCUUGUUCGACCUCAGCUGGGAACAAGGGUGUUACCAACCGAAAUUUUUUGCCACUCUUUGCAUGUCUGUGAAUGAAUGAGAAAAUUCUGCGAGUGUUGAUUUUGGAGUUAUCAAAAAAUUUUAGUGAGUAUGUAAAUUUGCAAAUAUGCACUCUGAAUAAUGAGCAUUGACUGUAUAUAAUUUGCUUAUAAAAAAUUUUAGAAAAUAUGUACAAAAUCUAGAGUGAAAGAAAGCAGAUCAGUGGUUGCCCUGGGGACGGGAUGGGGGUAAGGAGGGAGGAAUUACAAAGACACAGGAGACUUUGGAGGGUGAUGGGUUCAUUAUAUUGACUGUGGUCAUUCUUUCACAGGUGUACACAAUGCAAAACCUACCAAAUUGUAAUUUUAACCAUGUGCCAUUUAUCCUGUGUCAUAAUAACUCAAAAAAGCUGUGAAGAGGAUGAAAAGGCCACGAUGGUGGGAAGGAGAAGAGGAAAGAGACAUUUAUUAAGUUUACCCAUGAGGAAUUGCUACACAAGGAGUGAAGGAGAGUGAAUUCAAGAGAUCAAAGUUUAUGUGACAGGUCACUUUUCUGGGCGGCCAUAUAAACCUCAAGCAGAAAGCAGUGGGGUGCAGCAGAGGCCAACGGCUCUGUCAUGCAAUGGCCCGAGAUUUAUGGAUCUGAUAUAUCUGAAGACACAUACUACGGGAAGGGUGCCUAUACCUCCAAUGGAAACAGAAAAAGCAGAAAGCUGAGAUCAUGGCUUCCCAGGCCUUGAAAGGGCUACUGGCAGCCAAGGGCAUUUGGCUCAACCUAGGCUUGACAGAAAAGGAAGAUGCACUGGAUGCUACAAAGGGAAUGAAAUGAAAGCAUCAAAACAUAUAAUUUACCACAUGAAAGAUGGUACUUAGAGUUUGCCAGAACUACUAACUCUACCAGCAGAUGGAAAGAUCAGUCUUAUUACAGGCAGAAGCCUACUGGACACACAGCACAAAAAGAUGGCUUGUAAACACGAGAUGGAUUUUUUUCUUUUUUCUUUUUUUUUUUUUUUUUUAAGUAACCUCUACACCCAAUGUGGGACUCGAACUCAUGACCCUGAGAUCAAGAGUUGCAUGUUCUACUGACUGAGCCAGCCAGGCGCCUCAAGAAAUGAGAUGGGUUUUCUUAUGGCUUGGAAAAUGACUCUACAGGAGGCAUAAACUCUGAAAUGCAUAUUUGAAACCACUCUUAAUGCUUUACACUCCUACUUCAUAGAAUAAAUCCAUGAGGUAGUUUUCCUGGAGCAACUUUUUGAAAAGAUGAAUGCAGAAGGAUAAAAGGAAGGGUAGACUUCACAGACUGUUUUCAGAACAUCAGCUGUUCCCUCAAAGGCAAGAACUCUGUUUUUCUUUCUCUGUGCCCACAAUAUCUAGAAUAUAUCUUAAACACAGUAGGCGCUCGCCUCUUCCAUUGCUUUUCAGAAAUAAGUGAAGAACUAAGCUGUAAAUGAGUAAGAGACACUGAUUAGAUGUCUGUUGCUGUAUAUGGCAGGCAAACCAUCCCUGACAGAUGGCUGUCUCCUCUGGUUACUAGUAUAAGAACUGGCUCAUGGGGUGGAGCUAAAAGGCACGAGGCAGUAAAUCUAAUGAAAACCAGGCCCACAUUUCCAUCCGUAUUAUAUAUGCAAGGGAAAUGCUGAGUGAUACUUGUACUUUAUCAUCUUAGCAAUGGGAUUUAGGGUAAGAAUGAUGAAGAUCAGUGGUCAAAACAGGAAGAAGCUCAAAAGGAGCUGGGAGGGGAAGAAUAAUGUAGAUAUAAAUAAAAAAAAAUUCUGUAUCAAAUGACAGCAGGGGUUAUCUAUCUUUCUUACCAACGUGUUCUCCUAACGGGGUUUGUUCCUAAGUAAUCUACCCUAAAUAGAAUUUAAAAAACUGAAUUCUGUGAAAAGAUAACUUCUUUCCAAGUGAAAUUUCCUUAAAGGCUCACAAACAGAAAUCAGCAUGGGGCUGUCAAUCAGAAACGGAAGCGCCGUUAGCGAUCUGUGGUCCAAACACACCAAGUACCAAGUGAACUGCCACCAGACAGGCUUGAAGUGAGGUCGAGUGGGAAGCCCAGUGGGGGAGCCAUCUGUCCCCCUUUCUUCAGUAGGUAGAACAGGAGGACAUCUCCCUCCAGGGCUGUCGAUCUGGCACUUCCCGCCUUAGCAGUGAAUCUCUGUGGAAGGAACCAUCACUCGUGUGGUUUUAUGGUGCACUCACAAGAGGGGUAGUCGGGUUCAGAGAAAUCCAGUAACUGUUGAUCUUGAGAAUCUGGGCAGCCAUCUUUUUUACGUUCUCCAAGUUUAUAAUCCAUCAGCUCUAGCUCUUUCUGUUGGAGAUGUGCCAUCUGCUCCUCAUAUUUCUGCUCCUCUCCCAGUCUCUGGAGGCUCCUCAGGGUUUUUGGCAGGCUGUGCCGUCCAUGCCAGCCAUACUGAUUCUUGGCCACCCGGCUGACCAGAUGCAGUGAUUCCAGCACAUUUACAAUGUCAUAGAUACGUCUCCUUUCAACGCCUGUUUGAAAAACAGAAGUCGACAAUCAUGCAGGCAAACAUUUUUGAGUAAAGAUUCCUUGAGGGCCUGGACCAUGUCUGUAAGCUACUCUACAUGCUGCCCAGGGCAAUGCACAGCAAGGGUGGAUGCUCUACAAACCAAACCUGUAAGGAUGUUCUUGGGAUCCAACCCUUAAAAGAGCGAGGGUAAAAAACAUCCACCCAGAGAUGGAGGAUAGUUGCAUCUCUGUUACGUCAACACUAGUAUGUCUCUUCUUUAGACCCGUUAGGUAAACCACGUGAACACCUCAGCACGUUAAAACAGGUGGGAUUGAGCAACACGUGUACCAGUAUGUCUAAUGGACACCUGAUGAAUGCUGUUUGGUUGAUUUUGACUUCUACUCCUAAUUAUGCAGACUGUAAAAUAAACUGUGUCCAACGCGUGACACCUCA